This 253-nucleotide ribosomal RNA is filed under the name uncultured bacterium. Its description in RNAcentral is "partial 16S ribosomal RNA". It matches the Rfam family "Bacterial small subunit ribosomal RNA", at positions 524 to 776 of the family's 1533-position model. The record is from RNAcentral.
UACGUAGGGUGUGAGCGUUAAUCGGAAUUACUGGGCGUAAAGCGUGCGCAGGCGGUUUUGUAAGCCAGAUGUGAAAUCCCCGGGCUUAACCUGGGAAUGGCAUUUGGGACUGCAAGGCUGGAGUGUGGCAGAGGAGACUGGAAUUCCUGGUGUAGCAGUGAAAUGCGUAGAUAUCAGGAGGAAUACCGAUGGCGAAGGCAGGUCUCUGGGCUGACACUGACGCUCAUGCACGAAAGCGUGGGGAGCAAACAGG